UACGGAGGGUGCAAGCGUUAAUCGGAAUUACUGGGCGUAAAGGGUGCGUAGGUGGUUUGGUAAGUUAUCUGUGAAAUCCCCGGGCUCAACCUGGGCAGGUCAGAUAAUACUGCUGAACUCGAGUAUGGGAGAGGGUAGUGGAAUUUCCGGUGUAGCGGUGAAAUGCGUAGAGAUCGGAAGGAACACCAGUGGCGAAGGCGGCUACCUGGCCCAAUACUGACACUGAGGCACGAAAGCGUGGGGAGCAAACAGG
Molecule: ribosomal RNA, 253 nt
Filed under: uncultured bacterium
Lineage: Bacteria
Description: partial 16S ribosomal RNA
Rfam family: Bacterial small subunit ribosomal RNA
Source: RNAcentral